RNAcentral lists this transfer RNA (66 nucleotides) under Leofa pulchella. RNAcentral describes it as "tRNA-Cys". Lineage: Eukaryota; Metazoa; Arthropoda; Insecta; Hemiptera; Cicadellidae. The record is from RNAcentral.
GGUCUUAUAGUUUAUAUAAAACAUUAAAUUGCAAAUUUGAAUAAGAAUUUCUUUAUUCUAAGACUU